RNAcentral lists this ribosomal RNA (531 nucleotides) under uncultured bacterium. Its description in RNAcentral is "bacterial SSU rRNA". It matches the Rfam family "Bacterial small subunit ribosomal RNA", at positions 777 to 1304 of the family's 1533-position model. The record is from RNAcentral.
AAUAGAUACCCAGGUAGUCCACGCCGUAAACGAUGAGUGCUAAGUGUUGGGGGGUUUCCGCCCCUCAGUGCUGCAGCUAACGCAUUAAGCACUCCGCCUGGGGAGUACGGCCGCAAGGCUGAAACUCAAAGGAAUUGACGGGGGCCCGCACAAGCGGUGGAGCAUGUGGUUUAAUUCGAAGCAACGCGAAGAACCUUACCAGGUCUUGACAUCCCGCUGCCCGGUAUAGAGAUAUAUCUUUCCCUUCGGGGACAGCGGUGACAGGUGGUGCAUGGUUGUCGUCAGCUCGUGUCGUGAGAUGUUGGGUUAAGUCCCGCAACGAGCGCAACCCUUGAUCUUAGUUGCCAGCAUUUAGUUGGGCACUCUAAGGUGACUGCCGGUGACAAACCGGAGGAAGGUGGGGAUGACGUCAAAUCAUCAUGCCCCUUAUGACCUGGGCUACACACGUGCUACAAUGGAUGGUACAAAGGGGCUGCAAGACCGCGAGGUUUAGCCAAUCCCAUAAAACCGAUUCUCAGUUCGGAUUGCAGG